Long non-coding RNA from Oreochromis aureus, 612 nucleotides. NCBI's taxonomy places the organism in Eukaryota, Metazoa, Chordata, Actinopteri, Cichliformes, Cichlidae. The record is from Ensembl.
GUUUGAACAUGGCCUCGAAACGGCAACAGGAGUCGGGAGCGGAGAAAAGAAAGAAGAAGAGGAAGCGUGAUGAAACUCAGGCGUCGCUUGCCGGGUCAAUGCUUAAAUAUGUUCAAGGAGGAUCUCAAGGACAGGAUGAACCAUCCAGUAGUAGUGCCAUCCCUGGACAUCAACCACCAGCCAUUGUAGACCCUGCAACAAUCCCUAGCCAAGAAGAACAAGAACCAUCAACCACCAGUUCAGGUAGGUGGAUUGUCAUUUGUGUCCAGAACAUGAACAAUAACACUGGCAGUGCCAGAACGAGCAGGUGUUCCUCCAUCUACAGCUCUCUGAAAUCAGCUUUGUGGCCUCGCAAGGCAGUGACGCACGGAAUGACAUCCCCAAACACACACACAGGCGUACGAGCAGCACUGCGUGCUUUAUCCUGAAAACAUCUCUCAUUCAUCAGGCAUGUCUUCAAAAGCCAGUUCUUUGUUUGUUUUAUAAUAGUAAAGUAUUAAUUUCAAAUAUUAGUCUUUAUAACAAGGGAAAAAAUCAUGGAGGAUAAAACAAUCUACUAUCUGUAAGUUAGCAUGUCUUUAUUUUAUUUACAUGCCACUAGAUGAUUUAAAA